UGAAAUAGUAUACAUGUUGCUAGCUCCUCUUAUUAUUUAUUUUUUGCGUAUUCUCUCAAUCU
This 62-nucleotide small RNA is filed under the name Arabidopsis thaliana (thale cress). RNAcentral describes it as "ATSL130400". Lineage: Eukaryota; Viridiplantae; Streptophyta; Magnoliopsida; Brassicales; Brassicaceae. The record is from RNAcentral.